Molecule: ribosomal RNA, 426 nt
Filed under: uncultured bacterium
Lineage: Bacteria
Description: bacterial SSU rRNA
Rfam family: Bacterial small subunit ribosomal RNA
Source: RNAcentral
AGGGAAUCUUCCGCAAUGGACGAAAGUCUGACGGAGUAACGCCGCGUGAGUGAUGAAGGUUUUCGGAUCGUAAAACUCUGUUGUUAGGGAAGAACAAGUACCGUUCGAAUAGGGCGGUACCUUGACGGUACCUAACCAGAAAGCCACGGCUAACUACGUGCCAGCAGCCGCGGUAAUACGUAGGUGGCAAGCGUUGUCCGGAAUUAUUGGGCGUAAAGCGCGCGCAGGCGGUUUCUUAAGUCUGAUGUGAAAGCCCCCGGCUCAACCGGGGAGGGUCAUUGGAAACUGGAAGACUUGAGUGCAGAAGAGGAGAGUGGAAUUCCACGUGUAGCGGUGAAAUGCGUAGAGAUGUGGAGGAACACCAGUGGCGAAGGCGACUCUCUGGUCUGUAACUGACGCUGAGGCGCGAAAGCGUGGGGAGCAAAC